RNAcentral lists this RNase P RNA (380 nucleotides) under Actinomycetes bacterium. Its description in RNAcentral is "Actinobacteria bacterium RNase P RNA component class A". It matches the Rfam family "Bacterial RNase P class A". Rfam says of the family: Ribonuclease P (RNase P) is a ubiquitous endoribonuclease, found in archaea, bacteria and eukarya as well as chloroplasts and mitochondria. Its best characterised activity is the generation of mature 5'-ends of tRNAs by cleaving the 5'-leader elements of precursor-tRNAs. Lineage: Bacteria; Bacillati; Actinomycetota; Actinomycetes. The record is from RNAcentral.
GGAGUUAGCUGAGUAGUCGCGCAAGCUUUGCUUGUGAGGAAAGUCCGGGCUCCACAGGGCAGGAUGCUGGGUAAUACCCAGCGGGACUGGUGUAAAAGCUAAUCCCAGCGCUAGUGCAACAGAAAAUAUACCGCCAGGAUUUUAUAUAUCCUGGUAAGGGUGAAAUGGUGAGGUAAGAGCUCACCAGCAGUCUGGUGACAGGCUGGCUUGGUAAACCGCAUCCGGAGAAAGGCCAAAUAGGGAAGUAUAAGGUGGCCCGCCUUCUUCCGGGUUAGGCCGCUAGAGGUAAAUAGUAAUAUUUAUCCCAGAUGGAUGACUACUGGUGCUUAUGAUUAAACUCAUAGGUAUUACAGAACUCGGCUUACAGGCUAACUCCAACU